AGAGUUUGAUCAUGGCUCAGGACGAACGCUGGCGGCGCGCUUAACACAUGCAAGUCGAGCGAUAACCAUGGCUUCGGCCAUGGGGAGAGCGGCGAACGGGUGAGUAACACGUGAGCGAUCUGCCCUCGACACUGGGAUAGCCCGGGGAAACCCGGAUUAAUACCGGAUAGCCUCUCGGGUCUACGGGCCCGUGAGAAAAGAUGGCUUCGGCUUUCGGUUGAGGAGGAGCUUGCGGCGGAUUAGCUUGUUGGUGGGGUAACGGCUCACCAAGGCGACGAUCCGUAGCUGGUCUGAGAGGACGAUCAGCCACACUGGGACUGAGACACGGCCCAGACUCCUACGGGAGGCAGCAGUGGGGAAUCUUGCGCAAUGGGCGAAAGCCUGACGCAGCGACGCCGCGUGAGGGAAGAAGGCCUUCGGGUUGUAAACCUCUUUCAGGAGGGACGAAGCUACUCGGGUUAAUAGCCCAGAGGGUGACGGUACCUCCAGAAGAAGCCCCGGCUAACUACGUGCUAGCCGCCGCGGUAAUAC
Molecule: ribosomal RNA, 531 nt
Filed under: uncultured bacterium
Lineage: Bacteria
Description: bacterial SSU rRNA
Rfam family: Bacterial small subunit ribosomal RNA
Source: RNAcentral